Molecule: ribosomal RNA, 478 nt
Filed under: uncultured bacterium
Lineage: Bacteria
Description: partial 16S ribosomal RNA
Rfam family: Bacterial small subunit ribosomal RNA
Source: RNAcentral
AACAAACGCUGGCGGCGUGCCUAAUACAUGCAAGUCGAACGAGGAAAGCUUUCGGGUGAGUACUAGUGGCGCACGGGUGAGGAAUAUAUGGAUAAUCUGCCCUCGAGUUGGGGAUAACCAGUCGAAAGACUGGCUAAUACCGAAUAAGACCACAGGAUCUGCGGAUCUAGGGGUUAAAGGUUUUUCGCUUGAGGAUGAGCCCAUACGGGAUUAGCUAGUUGGCGAGGUAAUGGCUCACCAAGGCUACGAUCCCUAACUGGUCUUAGAGGAUGAUCAGUCACACUGGAACUGAGACACGGUCCAGACUCCUACGGGAGGCAGCAGUAGGGAAUAUUACACAAUGGGGGAAACCCUGAUGCAGCGACGCCGCGUGAGUGAUGAAGGCCUUCGGGUCGUAAAGCUCUGUCGUAUGGGACUAACACAAUGAAGGUACCAUGCAAGAAAGGAUCGGCUAACUUCGUGCCAGCAGCCGCCGUAA